CGGGUGAGUAACACGUGGGCAACGUACCCCCGACUCUGGGAUAGCAACGGGAAACCGUUGCUAAUACCGGAUGAUCCAUACCUACCGCAUGGCAGGUUUGGCAAAGUUUUUCGGUCAGGGAUCGGCCCGCGCUGUGUCAGCUUGUUGGUGGGGUAACGGCCUACCAAGGCUUUGACGCAUAGCUGGCGCGAGAGCGCGACCAGCCACACUGGGACUGAGACACGGCCCAG
RNAcentral lists this ribosomal RNA (230 nucleotides) under uncultured bacterium. Its description in RNAcentral is "partial 16S ribosomal RNA". It matches the Rfam family "Bacterial small subunit ribosomal RNA", at positions 103 to 334 of the family's 1533-position model. The record is from RNAcentral.